CGUCGUCCCCGGGUGAGUCGAGUCCUAAGGCGAGGCCGACAGGCGUAGUCGAAUGGAUGAACGGGUUGAUAUUCCCGUACCGGUGUUACACCGUUCGAACUGAAUCUGAGAGUACUAACCUUCAUUUGCGAGCUGGCUUCCUUUCGGGGUUGUUGGCUUGUUUGUGUUGGGAGCGUAUCGGUAGUAGGUUAGCGUGGGAGUGACGCGGGUAGGUAGCCGGCUGCGGAGGUGGUUUUCCGUGGCUAAGCGUGUGGGCUGUCCUCUAGGUAAAUCCGGGGGAUGUUAAAGCUGAGGCGUGAUGGGUAGGCUGUAAGGCUGAUUCCGGUGAUCCUGCUUGCCAAGAAAAGCUUCAACGUGAGGUGUGAUUCCGCUCGUACCCUAAACCGACACUGGUGGUCUGGUAGAGUAUACCGAAGCGAUCGGGCGAAUCCUGGCCAAGGAACUCGGCAAAUUACUCCCGUGCCUUCGGCAUAAGGGAGACCCCUGAUGGUGAUAUGGUUUCACACUGUUGAGCUGUUGGGGGUGGCACAAGCUAGGGGGUAGCGACUGUUUACCAAAAACACAGGAGCGUGCGAAGGCGUAAGCCGCUGUAUACGCUCUGACGCCUGCCCGGUGCCGGAAGGUUAAGAGGAUCCGUUAGCUUCGGUGAAGCGGUGAAUUUAAGCCCCGGUAAACGGCGGUGGUAACUAUAACCAUCCUAAGGUAGCGAAAUUCCUUGUCGGGUAAGUUCCGACCUGCACGAAUGGCGUAACGACUUCCCCACUGUC
RNAcentral lists this ribosomal RNA (767 nucleotides) under Bifidobacteriaceae bacterium NR044. RNAcentral describes it as "partial 23S ribosomal RNA". It matches the Rfam family "Bacterial large subunit ribosomal RNA", at positions 1367 to 2020 of the family's 2925-position model. The record is from RNAcentral. Lineage: Bacteria; Bacillati; Actinomycetota; Actinomycetes; Bifidobacteriales; Bifidobacteriaceae. RNAcentral also lists the same sequence under 1 other name.